RNAcentral lists this ribosomal RNA (644 nucleotides) under uncultured bacterium. RNAcentral's name for it is "bacterial SSU rRNA". It matches the Rfam family "Bacterial small subunit ribosomal RNA", at positions 110 to 753 of the family's 1533-position model. The record is from RNAcentral.
GUAACACGUAUACAACUUACCCUUCACAGGAGGACAACCUGGAGAAAUUCGGGCUAAUACUCCGUACGAUUAUAGAGUGGCAUCACUUUAAGAUGAAAGCUACGGUGGUGAGGGAUGGGUAUGCGUCCGAUUAGCUAGUUGGCGGGGUAAAGGCCCACCAAGGCUACGAUCGGUAGGGGUUCUGAGAGGAUGGUCCCCCACACUGGCACUGAGAUACGGGCCAGACUCCUACGGGAGGCAGCAGUAGGGAAUAUUGGGCAAUGGUCGGAAGACUGACCCAGCCAUGCCGCGUGCAGGAGGAAGGCCCUCUGGGUUGUAAACUGCUUUAGUAGGGGAAGAAAAAGUCCAUGCGUGGACAAUUGACGGUACCCUAAGAAUAAGCACCGGCUAACUACGUGCCAGCAGCCGCGGUAAUACGUAGGGUGCGAGCGUUGUCCGGAUUUAUUGGGUUUAAAGGGUGCGUAGGCGGCCUAUUAAGUCAGUGUUGAAAUUUCGCAGCUUAACUGUGGGUACGGCAUUGAUACUGGUUGGCUUGAGUGCGCUCGAGGUACUUGGAAUUUAUGGUGUAGCGGUGAAAUGCAUAGAUACCAUAAGGAACGCCGAUAGCGAAGGCAUGGUACCAGGGCGCAACUGACGCUGAGGCA